AGUGAACGCUGGCGGUAGGCCUAACACAUGCGAGUCGAACGGCAGCACAGUAAGAGCUUGCUCUUACGGGUGGCGAGUGGCGGACGGGUGAGGAAUACAUCGGAAUCUACUUUUUCGUGGGGGAUAACGUAGGGAAACUUACGCUAAUACCGCAUACGACCUACGGGUGAAAGAAGGGGAUCUUCGGACCUUGCGCGAUUGAAUGAGCCGAUGUCGGAUUAGCUAGUUGGCGGGGUAAAGGCCCACCAAGGCGACGAUCCGUAGCUGGUCUGAGAGGAUGAUCGGCCACACUGGAACUGAGACACGGUCCAUACUCCUACGGGAGGCAGCAGUGGGGAAUAUUGGACAAUGGGCGCAAGCCUGAUCCAGCCAUACCGCGUGGGUGAAGAAGGCCUUCGGGUUGUAAAGCCCUUUUGUUGGGAAAGAAAAGCAGCCGCUUAAUACCCCGCUGUUCUGACGGUACCCAAAGAAUAAGCACCGGCUAACUUCGUG
Molecule: ribosomal RNA, 492 nt
Filed under: uncultured bacterium
Lineage: Bacteria
Description: partial 16S ribosomal RNA
Rfam family: Bacterial small subunit ribosomal RNA
Source: RNAcentral